This 551-nucleotide long non-coding RNA is filed under the name Mus musculus (house mouse). RNAcentral's name for it is "long non-coding RNA chr4:107688127-107688678". Lineage: Eukaryota; Metazoa; Chordata; Mammalia; Rodentia; Muridae. The record is from RNAcentral.
CCUCCCAAACCAGCAAACUACAGCAAGUUACAGCCUUCAGAGCCCCAGGUGACACGGCCCAGAAAGCCAGAUGGAGUGUCCUUUGAAGAAGGUGACAUUAUCUACAUUACUGACUCAAGCGUUAUCAACUGAUGGAAGGGCGGCAGGACUCAGCUAAUUCCAAGCAGGGAUGUGACCGAGCAGGCAGGAUCCACUGACCACCAGCUGCACUGGGCAGCCUGAGCCAGAGGGGUGUUUGGCUAACCCAGCGGGUGUUAAUGGCUUAGACAGAGCUGGAAGCACGGCUUUGUCUGGACUUGCCCUGGUCAUCGCUAAGACAGAGUGAAAGUCCCGUUUACAAAGCCAAGCAGUGAGCAAAACAGACAGACGGGAGACAAGCAGUGAGCAGAACAGACAGACAGGAGACAAGGCUUUCAUGCUGAUGCCCACGACGGUUGCUCCUGGGAAAGGCAAGAACGGUCUUAAGAAAUAACAGGAAAAAGCUGGUCCUGACCGUGGCCGUUGAUGCUGCCUGCACAUUGCUCUGGAAAGAGACAGGAGACAGAGUUGAU